Molecule: long non-coding RNA, 3920 nt
Organism: Triticum aestivum (bread wheat)
Lineage: Eukaryota; Viridiplantae; Streptophyta; Magnoliopsida; Poales; Poaceae
Exons: 4
Source: RefSeq, a predicted model, not a curated record
CAGCGCUCCACCUCCUCCCUCCCCCGCCGGCGCUCAGCCUCCUUCCUCCCCUACCCGCACGCCGCCCGCUUGCCCUCCCAUCCCACGCGUCGCCGCCGCCGGCCGGCCACCCCACCCUACCCACGCGCUGUCGCCGCCGACCGGCCGCCCCUUCCUACCCGCGCGCUACCGCCGCCUGCCGCCCGCCCCUCCCUAUCCACGCGCUGCCGCUGCCAGCCGCCCACCCCACCCUUCCCCACGCGCUGUCGCCGACCGCCCUCCCUACCACACGUUGCCGUGACACAACCGCGUCCGUCACCGUCCUUCGCCGCCCAGCCAACCUCCUUCUUCCGCGCCGUCGGCGACCUCCCUCCAUGCAUCGUGCCCCCCCUCCAUCAACGUGUGGGUCAUGGGGUCGUCACCCUCGGCCGCUACCCCGUGCACCACGCACCUCCGGCGUCGUCGCGACCCAUUGAACAACAAGCAUCCCUUCCUGGAUCCGGUCGCCUCCCUCCCCACUCUGUGACUUCAGGUAUACCUGCUGGGAGAGUUCAAUAAUCUGAAUAAUUGCCAACACCUGAAGGUUGUGUUUUGUCAUCUCAUCCCCACAUCUCCAGUAUGUCCAAUUGCAUCUGGCUUGACAGUUCAUAGACGAAAAAUUGAGCGGUGGUCUCUAAAUAUUCUGCUGAUAUAUGCCUAAAUAGGACCAAAUUUUGCAUGUUUUCUGCUUGUAUGUAUGUGGUUGAAUUAUUUAGCUUUUGAUCGAAGUUCAAACUUUAUAUGUGUGAAGGUUCAAUCAAACUCAGUUUCAUAGCUAUGAGGUAGAGCCAAUUUUCUCGGCUACUGAAACUGAUCAUUUGAUAGGGAAUUAAAAAGAAACAACAUAUAUGACCAUACGCGAAGUUCAAAGUUCUGGUCCAUGAUAGUAGACAUCCUGCAGUUUUUGGGAAUGAGUAGUUCACCUUUGCUAAGUGUAGCAAGUUCUCUGGUUACAAAAAUGAAUUCACUUUGCAAGAACUCCGGAGGUCAACAAUUUCUUUUUUUUUGUAGAUGGAGAUGUGUGUGUGUGCAUACAUGUGUUCUAGAGACAGGAGAACUUAUCUGGUGGUGUCUGUGUGUGCUGCUGCAUCCUCUUCCGGCCGCUCUAAUUCACACCCUCAGUACAACUUCUGUAUGACCUCGUGUAAAGCAAGCAUGGCCAACACAUAGUUUAGGUGUCGCGGUAGUACUCAUUGUUUAUGGUGGCCUUCUUUUGUACCGCUACCACUUUGUUACCUAGAGUAGUACUGCCACUACUUAUCAUGUUGAUAAAUCCUCGCGAACAGUAUAUGCAUUUGAUUAAUGAUUCUGUAGGGAGAAAAAGUUCACCAAUAUACAAUCUCUAAGUUCGAUGUACCAAUCUUUUUGUUUAGUAGUUGGUACUGCUCAAGUUUAUUUCUUGAUGUACACAUGAUGUCAAAUUUCUUCUUUGAGUUCGGUUCAAUUUAUAAAUUUUGUUCAGUUCAGCGAGGUGGAUAUUGGGGCAUGGUGGGGUGUGGCCAUGUGGGUGGAGAUGGCCCGCCACAACGUUGCCAGCCGAAUCCCGCUGCCAUGUGCUCGAUCCAGCAGGUCUCCUCCCUCCCGGUGCUAGCCUCCUCGAGCUCCGUCGCCGACCAACUCCACCCCGGGUCCUGACGUAGCCCCUCAGUUCGACAUGCAUCUGCUGCGUGCUUGCUGUGGCCUGCGUGUGCUGGUGUGUUCGUGCAUGCACGAUAUAACUGAACUGAGCAUUUCUACCAUAUCUGAACCGCAGGUGGGAUGCAUCCUCUACAAAAAAGAUUCUCCGAUGCUCCUCGUCAGCUAGUGGGCCAACACGGGGGUCCUCACUGUGGCCUCCCCCACGAUGAUCUGAGUUGCACUCAUGGAAUUCUCUACUUCCCCACCUAGCAGAUCACGACGGCUCUCCCCCUCCUACUGCUCAGCAUCAUUGAUCUCAACGACGAAUAGGGACAAAAAUAAACGUGAAUCUUGUCGUCCUCUUGAUGCAACCAAAUCCCAGCGCACCUGGUAGUUCAAACUUACAUUGGAUGGCCGGCGAUCAACUGCCCCGCCUCUACAAGCUCCUCAGGGAUGACUUGGUAAUAGUUGGGAUCCCCUACAGCGGCCAAAUCCCGGCGCACCCAGCCGCCUCUCGUGGUCCCCGCUCCUUCAGCUCCACUUCACCGGCGCUGUCAGUCCACAGGAGUAGGGGAGGCGUGCCCAUCAACAAACAAGAACAUAAGGUAUGUGCUUGGAAACUUAAAAUUCCGUACACAUUUGGGAAACAGAAGUUGUAGCUUGUUUCAAAGUUCAAAACGAAAAAGAUAUUCAGUUCAACUUGUUCUAGCAAACCAUGUGUGAGACACCAUAGAGUGAAAAUGUUGCUGUGUUGCCAUGUCUCUUAUUGGUUCAACUACAAAUAAUUACAUCCCUUCGACUACAUAUAUUACACUAGUUCAACUGUGUGCGUCACACCAAUGGACCUAAGUUUUACAUAUGUUAUCAGUUUGAAAAAACUUUGGAUUUUGAUGAUGCAAGCUGUAUCUACAUAGUUCUUUUUUCUAUUUCCUAUAAGUUCAAGUGAGCAAUUUCUAUAAGUUGGCGGGUUGUUUACUCAGGCAGUUAAAAAAAGUGGUCAUUGUUGUCUCUUUUAAAAGAUGUUCGAGUGAUUCUUGUCAAAAUGCUGCCAAUGUUAAGAGAAGAACUCCUUCCUCCAUUGGCUGUCUCAGUUCAUCUGGUUAAACAUCUCAGUGCAACUAUAUUGACUAUGCCUGGAACAGUAACAUGGUGACGGUUGUGUUUCAUACAUCCAAGCAAUAUGAUGCUUGCAACGGAGUAUUGUACCAAGCUACAAUUUGCAUUGAAAUGCCGCUACCACUAUGUAUUUGUACUUAAACGAACUUGUAGAAACAACUCUUUCUAUCUCACUCGUACUUCUAUUUUUUGUAUGGGGCAUCUUCUAGCAUAUGAUUGUAACUCAUUUUCCUUUAGAUAACUACUCCCUCCGUUCCGAAUUACUUGUCGCAGGUAUGGAUGUAUCUAGAUGUAUUUUAGUUCUAGAUACAUCCAUUUCUGCGACGAGUAAUUUGGUACGGAGGGAGUACUUAUUAAAAAGAUAUAUCAGUCGGCAUGCUAAAUUUCAAUUUCCCAUUUUAAAGUUCAGAUUUUGCUGCAUCUAAAGUGCACCUAUGCUAAUUCUUUUCAUCGAAGGGAGAAGCAGCAGGGACAGUACGCGUCGGUGUCUAUAUUCAGCUUUAUUUUUGUUUUGAAGUUGAUGUGAAAGAGCUUUUGAAAGCAAACAUCAGUCCAGUUUCGUUUUGUAUCAGCUGCUCCAAGGAAUGAAGUACAUGCAGGUAAUUACUGAUUAGGCUCCAUCGGGAUCUGAUGUUGCUGUACGGAUUGUUUGCUUAGAUGAUGGUUUUGCAGCAAAUGUUUUCCAUCGGGAUCUGAAGCCCAAGAAUAUUCUAGCGAAUGUUGACUGCAAGAUGAAAUUUGUGAUUUUGGACUUGCCCGUGUACCAUUUAAUGACGGGGCUCCAUCAGCCAUAUUCAGAAGUUUGAUUUUGUGAAGAAGUAUGCAAAAUUUCAAUGCAGGUGUGGAGAACCAAAAAGUUCUAACGACGGUGAAUCACAAGUUCAAGGACAGCAAUCCGGGGGCAUGGGGGCAUCUGCUGAUGCAAAUCUUGGUACUGAUGUGUUUAAGUCAAAGGACUUCGGUGUGUUUGUUGUAACCCAUAAAAUGGAAAAUGUUCUCUGGUGCCUAAUCUUGUUUCCACUUAUGUUUAUAUGUGGUUGUGUUUGUUGUAACCCAUAAAAUGGAAUAAUGCCUCCAAUGCGCAUGUAGCGACCCGACCUUGAACGGUUAAGUCUUUGUGCUUUAGUGUUAUCCCUGGAUCGGUAAUACUGACACACACAGUACUCAAA